GUGAGGAAUAUUGCGCAAUGGAGGCAACUCUGACGCAGCCAUGCCGCGUGCAGGAAGAAGGCGCUACGCGUUAUAAACUGCUUUUAACCGGGAAGAAACCCCAGGACGUGUCCUGGGUUGACGGUACCGGAGGAAUAAGCACCGGCUAACUUCGUGCCAGCAGCCGCGGUAAUACGAAGGGUGCAAGCGUUAUCCGGAUUCAUUGGGUUUAAAGGGUGCGUAGGCGGAGCGUUAAGUCAGUGGUGAAAUCCUGCAGCUUAACUGUAGACUUGCCAUUGAUACUGGCGCUCUUGAGUGCGCUUGAAGUGGGCGGAAUGUGCCGUGUAGCGGUGAAAUGCUUAGAUAUGGCACAGAACACCAAUUGCGAAGGCAGCUCACUAAGGCGAUACUGACGCUGAGGCACGAAAGCGUGGGGAUCGAACAGGAUUAGAAACCCCUGUAGUCC
This 445-nucleotide ribosomal RNA is filed under the name uncultured bacterium. Its description in RNAcentral is "partial 16S ribosomal RNA". It matches the Rfam family "Bacterial small subunit ribosomal RNA", at positions 354 to 796 of the family's 1533-position model. The record is from RNAcentral.